Molecule: ribosomal RNA, 257 nt
Filed under: uncultured bacterium
Lineage: Bacteria
Description: partial 16S ribosomal RNA
Rfam family: Bacterial small subunit ribosomal RNA
Source: RNAcentral
CGUAGGGUGCGAGCGUUAAUCGGAAUUACUGGGCGUAAAGCGUGCGCAGGCGGUUAUGUAAGACAGAUGUGAAAUCCCCGGGCGUCAACCUGGGAACGUGCAUUUGUGACUGCAUGGCUAGAGUACGGGUAGAGGGGGAGUGGAAUUCCGCGUGUAGCAGUGAAAUGCGUAGAUAUGCGGAGGAACACCGAUGGCGAAGGCAAUCCCCUGGACCUGUACUGACGCUCAUGCACGAAAGCGUGGGAGCAAACAGGAUU